Small nucleolar RNA from Lathyrus oleraceus (garden pea), 107 nucleotides. The record is from RefSeq and is a predicted model, not a curated record. NCBI's taxonomy places the organism in Eukaryota, Viridiplantae, Streptophyta, Magnoliopsida, Fabales, Fabaceae.
AGCCCAUGAUGCGGGCAAAUCCUUAGCAUGUCCUUAUAUCUCCCCCACGCUUCGAAAAAUGAUUUAUUGUCUUUUUGCCUAAAUUCGUUGAUUUGACUUCUUAGCAU